RNAcentral lists this ribosomal RNA (643 nucleotides) under uncultured Pseudomonas sp. RNAcentral describes it as "bacterial SSU rRNA". It matches the Rfam family "Bacterial small subunit ribosomal RNA", at positions 58 to 695 of the family's 1533-position model. The record is from RNAcentral. Lineage: Bacteria; Pseudomonadati; Pseudomonadota; Gammaproteobacteria; Pseudomonadales; Pseudomonadaceae.
CAAGUCGAGCGGAUGACGGGAGCUUGCUCCUUGAUUCAGCGGCGGACGGGUGAGUAAUGCCUAGGAAUCUGCCUGGUAGUGGGGGACAACGUUUCGAAAGGAACGCUAAUACCGCAUACGUCCUACGGGAGAAAGCAGGGGACCUUCGGGCCUUGCGCUAUCAGAUGAGCCUAGGUCGGAUUAGCUAGUUGGUGGGGUAAUGGCUCACCAAGGCGACGAUCCGUAACUGGUCUGAGAGGAUGAUCAGUCACACUGGAACUGAGACACGGUCCAGACUCCUACGGGAGGCAGCAGUGGGGAAUAUUGGACAAUGGGCGAAAGCCUGAUCCAGCCAUGCCGCGUGUGUGAAGAAGGUCUUCGGAUUGUAAAGCACUUUAAGUUGGGAGGAAGGGCAGUAAGUUAAUACCUUGCUGUUUUGACGUUACCGACAGAAUAAGCACCGGCUAACUCUGUGCCAGCAGCCGCGGUAAUACAGAGGGUGCAAGCGUUAAUCGGAAUUACUGGGCGUAAAGCGCGCGUAGGUGGUUUGUUAAGUUGGAUGUGAAAGCCCCGGGCUCAACCUGGGGAACUGCAUCCAAAACUGGCAAGCUAGAGUACGGUAGAGGGUGGUGGAAUUUCCUGUGUAGCGGUGAAAUGCGUAGAU